UUGAGAGAGAGAAAGGCAUGUGUGGAUCCCAUGGUGUUCAUGGGUCAUGAGUGUAAUGGCUGAUGUUUAUACAAAUCCAGACAAACAUGUGGUCCUUCACAACAAUGUUAAAAUGCCUAUUCUUGGUUUAGGCACUUCACACAAUGGUGGAUAUAGUCAUUCAGCUGUUGUGUAUGCAUUAAAAGAUUGCGGGUAUAGACAUAUUGAUACAGCCAAGAGAUACGGUUGUGAAGCUUACAUUGCUAAAGCUGUAAAGGAAUCAGAAGUCCCUCGUGAUGAAAUCUUCUUGGCGACAAAGUGUUGGCCCACUGACUAUGGGACUAUUGCUACUCGAAAUGCCUUCAAUGGUUCCUGCGAAAAACUGGGGUCAGAUUACAUAGAUCUUUAUCUCCUGCAUUGGCCUGAUGUGCCUUCAAGUGUGAGUGACAGAAACCGCCUCUUGCAAGAGACAUGGCGGACACUAGAGGUGUUGCUGGAUGAGGAACGUGUGAGAGCCAUUGGGGUCAGCAACUUCCUUGAACGACACCUUGAUGUGAUUCUUGAGGAAUGUUCUGUGGUUCCUCACAUCAACCAGUGUGAGUUCCAUCCAUUCAAUAACCCCAAGCAAUUACGCGAAUAUUGCUCUGAAAGGAAGAUACAAUUUGAGGGUUAUUCCCCUCUAGCAAAAGGUUAUGCUCUUGCGGACUCCACGGUGAAAGCUAUUGCUAAACAUCAUAGACGGAGCCCAUCACAGGUUCUACUAAGGUGGUCUCUGCAGUGCAGGGUUCCUGCUAUACCUAAAUCAACCAAAGUGCAGCGGGUGAUGGAAAAUGCCCAGGGUUACUGUCCGCUAGGUAAUGGACAAAUUCUCGCAGACCCAAAAAUUAAAGAAAUUGCAGAGAGGCAUAACAGAUCCCCAGCUCAGGUUCUCAUUCGUUGGAAUCUCCACAAUAGAGUUGUAUGCAUCCCAAAAUCAACCAGGGAACACAGGGUCAAAGAAAACUCAGAGGUGUUUGAUUUUGUUCUCCACCAAAAAGACAUGGAUAGUCUUUCUAUGUUAAAUGAUGACUUCCAUGUCUCAUGGGACCCUAAUUCAUUGCCGUGAUACUUUCUGUUUACACCCUGGCCCCUCCCCAACACACACAUUUCCUUGCUUUAGAGAUAUUUGACUUUGCUCUCACCGACGAGGACAGUGCAAUACUGGACAACAUGGCUCAGAAGCUGACAAUCAUGGAACGCAGUACAAUACAACACAAAAUUGAUAAUCCUCUACCUGAUGGAUACAAGUUGAAGAUGGU
Molecule: unclassified non-coding RNA, 1277 nt
Filed under: Penaeus chinensis
Lineage: Eukaryota; Metazoa; Arthropoda; Malacostraca; Decapoda; Penaeidae
Description: uncharacterized oxidoreductase ZK1290.5-like, transcript variant X2
Source: RNAcentral